Non-coding RNA from Cinara cedri, 294 nucleotides. The record is from the annotation of a GenBank genome assembly. NCBI's taxonomy places the organism in Eukaryota, Metazoa, Arthropoda, Insecta, Hemiptera, Aphididae.
UAUGAUGAUGAUGAUGAUGAUAAGAUAAUGAAAUAUUUAAAAACAAUGUAUAUAUAGAGUGCCAAUAAUUUCAAUCGUAUUAACGUACGCGACUCGCUUACCUAUACCCGUACUAUAAUAAUUCGUCCCGCAGUGUGAACUUAAAUUUCUCAUCGAGAACUGUUUGUAUACGCCCGGUUUCAUUUCGUUGCCAUAAUACCAUAUGUAUAGUGUUUUUCCCGAUAUACCUAACGCUAUACCAAAAGGCUGUAGUUUUUGCUUCUUGGACAUAGUAUGUGUAUAUAUGGACUGUUA